RNAcentral lists this ribosomal RNA (397 nucleotides) under uncultured bacterium. RNAcentral's name for it is "partial 16S ribosomal RNA". It matches the Rfam family "Bacterial small subunit ribosomal RNA", at positions 523 to 918 of the family's 1533-position model. The record is from RNAcentral.
AUACGUAGGUGACAAGCGUUAUCCGGAUUUACUGGGCGUAAAGGGCGUGUAGGCGGUCUUGCAAGUCAGAAGUGAAAUUCCUGAGCUCAACUCGGGCGCUGCUUCUGAAACUGCAGGACUUGAGUGCUGGAGGGGAUAGCGGAAUUCCUAGUGGAGCGGUAAAAUGCGCAGAUAUUAGGAAGAACACCGGUGGCGAAGGCGGCUAUCUGGACAGUAACUGACGCUGAGGCGCGAAAGCGUGGGGAGCAAACAGGAUUAGAUACCCUGGUAGUCCACGCCGUAAACGAUGAGUACUAGGUGUAGGGGGUAUCGACUCCCUCUGUGCCGCAGUUAACACAAUAAGUAUUCCGCCUGGGGAGUACGGCCGCAAGGUUGAAACUCAAAUGAAUUGGCGGGG